AAGUCGUAACAAGGUUUCCGUAGGUGAACCUGCGGAAGGAUCAUUAACUAUUAUAAAGAUACCUUUGUGAAUCGAGCAGACCAAAGUUGAAUAGACUGACGGCUUGCUUGCCGCUUUGGCGGAUAUAUACAUUAAGAGUACAUUAUAAAAUUUACAUAAACAAUUUUUAACAAUGGAUCUCUAGGCUCUU
Molecule: unclassified non-coding RNA, 190 nt
Filed under: Phylloporus sp.
Lineage: Eukaryota; Fungi; Basidiomycota; Agaricomycetes; Boletales; Boletaceae
Description: partial contains small subunit ribosomal RNA, internal transcribed spacer 1, and 5.8S ribosomal RNA
Rfam family: Eukaryotic small subunit ribosomal RNA (bases 1-46)
Source: RNAcentral